This 388-nucleotide RNase P RNA is filed under the name Fidelibacterota bacterium. Its description in RNAcentral is "RNase P RNA component class A". It matches the Rfam family "Bacterial RNase P class A". Rfam says of the family: Ribonuclease P (RNase P) is a ubiquitous endoribonuclease, found in archaea, bacteria and eukarya as well as chloroplasts and mitochondria. Its best characterised activity is the generation of mature 5'-ends of tRNAs by cleaving the 5'-leader elements of precursor-tRNAs. Lineage: Bacteria; Pseudomonadati; Fidelibacterota. The record is from RNAcentral.
UGAGUCGGUCGGAUGGUUGCCCCGGCACUUGUGUCAGGGAGGAAAGUCCGAGCACUACAGGACAGGGCGCCCCAUAACAAGAGGAAUCCGAAAGGAUAUGGAAAGUGCAGCAGAAAACAGACCGCCCCGACAUUUUUGUGUCGAGGUAAGGGUGAAAAGGAGGUGUAAGAGACCCCCAGUUCCGAUAGCAAUAUCGGGAGAUUGUAAACCCCGCCCGGUGCAAGAUCGAAUAGGCUUCGAGAUGUGGUCCGCAUCAUUGUUUUUAGAACAGCAGAAGCGGGUAGAUCGCAUGAUCCUGCCGGCAACGUCAGGACAAGGUGAAUGACCAUCAAUCGGGAUUUAUCAAGAUUCCCGGGAACAAAACUCGGCUUACAGACCGACUCAAUCU